This 548-nucleotide ribosomal RNA is filed under the name Yarrowia lipolytica. RNAcentral describes it as "eukaryotic LSU rRNA". It matches the Rfam family "Eukaryotic large subunit ribosomal RNA", at positions 37 to 666 of the family's 3401-position model. The record is from RNAcentral. Lineage: Eukaryota; Fungi; Ascomycota; Dipodascomycetes; Dipodascales.
UGCAUAUCAAUAAGCGGAGGAAAAGAAACCAACAGGGAUUGCCUCAGUAACGGCGAGUGAAGCGGCAAAAGCUCAAAUUUGAAACCCUCGGGAUUGUAAUUUGAAGAUUUGGCAUUGGAGAAAGCUAACCCAAGUUGCUUGGAAUAGUACGUCAUAGAGGGUGACAACCCCGUCUGGCUAACCGUUCUCCAUGUAUUGCCUUAUCAAAGAGUCGAGUUGUUUGGGAAUGCAGCUCAAAGUGGGUGGUAAACUCCAUCUAAAGCUAAAUACUGGUGAGAGACCGAUAGCGAACAAGUACUGUGAAGGAAAGGUGAAAAGAACUUUGAAAAGAGAGUGAAAUAGUAUGUGAAAUUGUUGAUAGGGAAGGAAAUGAGUGGAGAGUGGCCGAGGUUUCAGCCGCCCCUCGUGGGCGGUGUACUGCCGACGCCGAGUCAUCGAUAGCGAGACGAGGGUUACAAAUGGGAGCGCCUUUCGGGCGUUCUCCCCUAACCCUCCACACUGCCACCGACGACAUAAUCCACCCAUUUCACCCGUCUUGAAACACGGAC